CAAACCUCAGUUGCCAACCAAUUGCUGAGAAGACCUGACCUGAUUGCGCCAACAUGACUAGGUCCAGAAGAUCCAGACGUCGCCAUUCAAGAAGGCAGGUUGAGAUGGAGAAAAGAUUAGCCAUGAAAACUGCCCAGUCCAGGCGGCGUAGAACUAGGCGAAAGACGAGAAAUGAGCGAGGCAGUAGAAGGCAGAGUCCUAACCCAAGAAGGCAAUGAUCCUUCAGCUGCUCACAAGGAUCGACCCGUCUCCAGAAGAUUCCUGGAAGAGCCACGGAAUAUCAUCCCAAGAUGACUGAAUACACGAGUUCACAAGCCUAACGUAUCUCUAGGAACCCAUGAUCGAACGGUUUUAGAAGGAAUUAAACUGAUCGAAAUGAA
This is a long non-coding RNA of Ornithorhynchus anatinus (platypus), 380 nucleotides long. RefSeq lists it as uncharacterized. The record is from RefSeq and is a predicted model, not a curated record. NCBI's taxonomy places the organism in Eukaryota, Metazoa, Chordata, Mammalia, Monotremata, Ornithorhynchidae. The transcript is spliced from 2 exons.